UUUUUGCGUUAGGGAUAGUAGCGGUUACCCCACAGGUCCUAUUGGCUUUUGCGAAUUGGGCCGAGGAGUAAAAGCGGAUAGCCCGCCCCUUU
Molecule: unclassified non-coding RNA, 92 nt
Filed under: Zobellia uliginosa
Lineage: Bacteria; Pseudomonadati; Bacteroidota; Flavobacteriia; Flavobacteriales; Flavobacteriaceae
Description: Flavo-1 RNA
Source: RNAcentral